AUGCGUCUGGCCCACUGCGCGGUGGCUUCGGCGUAAAAGGAGUCGAGCCAUUCCGUUUCCGCCGUUUCGAUCCCAGAUGCCGCGCGGCGCGCACGAGCGCAUCGAGCGGCGCAUG
Molecule: transfer RNA, 115 nt
Filed under: Candidatus Paraburkholderia calva
Lineage: Bacteria; Pseudomonadati; Pseudomonadota; Betaproteobacteria; Burkholderiales; Burkholderiaceae
Description: tRNA-Phe
Source: RNAcentral